UUUGCAUUCUUGGAGCCCAGAAACUGUCUUCUACAAACUUUUCUUCGUAGUACUAUGUAAACGUACACAGGAAAUGUUCAGAAAACAUCAGCCAAAUAGAAUUUGGGAAUUCCUUCACUGACUAGAUAUUGAUGUUUGAUUCUGUCCUGCUUUGUACUCAAUGGAUAUUUCGGGGUUUCCAUUUUGGAAAACUAUUUGGAAAAUUGCAAGCCAUGAGAAAAGCCUCUAAGCUACUCCAGGAGCACUGAGGACUCUUCAUGGGUUCUUACUGUUAAAGAGUUUAACCCCUCAAGUCACUCCAUUUUUACUAUAUGCCUUGAACUACAAGAUGUGUUAAGAUUUAUAGGAUAAGGUCCUCAUGUCUAAAAACUCAUGGUCUCGGUGGAGAAGCAGUAUUUACACACAUGGAGCAAGUUGAGAGUGCUUGAAUGUGGAGUAUAAAGUGUGUGAUACUGACAAGAAUUUCUAUUGAAGAUCAGGAAGAGGAGGAGCAAAUGAGGAUGGAGACGGACUUUGCAGAAUGGAAGAGAGGCAAAGACAUGAUUAGAAACAAUCUACAUAAUGAGGAGUCACUUUUGGGAGUUAUUUUAAGGCAGAGUAUCACAUCGCAUCAAAACAGCUCCGUCUCCUGCCACUCCACAUGCAAUGCCAUGAACUUAAAUAAAUUGCUGGUAAGAGGACGCAAAUGCUGUGACCAGGCAAGUUAGAAGAAUCUUGGUCAUCCAGAAAGCUUGCUGUAGCUGCCCAGCAUUUGCCUCCUCCACAAAGAAGGACCAAAAUAACAAGUAGACAAUCACAUGCCAAAUAAAAUGUCUAAGGGAGAGCACUGAAACUCAGCAAAAACGUUACGAAGACCCUCUGAGGUGCAGAAACUCAGGAAAGCAAAGCAGCCAGCCAGGAUCAGCUCAGAGCCAAGAGGGCCCCCACUUGAGGAGGAAAGGUAAGCAGGAGAUGCCCCGCAGGCAACAUUCCCACCACAAAUGCCUGCAAGCCUAGCUGUAGGAGAGCAGUGUUGAGUCCAGUAUAGGAGCUGCCUGGAGUCUCUGCG
This 1048-nucleotide long non-coding RNA is filed under the name Cercocebus atys (sooty mangabey). RNAcentral describes it as "lncRNA (ENSCATG00000045619.1)". Lineage: Eukaryota; Metazoa; Chordata; Mammalia; Primates; Cercopithecidae. The record is from RNAcentral.